Molecule: non-coding RNA, 89 nt
Organism: Trichonephila inaurata madagascariensis
Lineage: Eukaryota; Metazoa; Arthropoda; Arachnida; Araneae; Nephilidae
Source: the annotation of a GenBank genome assembly
CAUACUAUGCUGAAAAAACCUGUUCUCGUCCGAUCGCCGAAAGUUAAGCAUCAUUGGGCGCGGUCAGUACUUGGGAGGGUGACCACAUG